UACGAAGGGGGCAAGCGUUGUUCGGAAUUACUGGGCGUAAAGGGCGUGUAGGCGGCCUGCUAAGUCGAACGUGAAAUCCCCGGGCUCAACCCGGGAACUGCGUCCGAUACUGGUUGGCUUGAAUCCGGGAGAGGGAUGCGGAAUUCCAGGUGUAGCGGUGAAAUGCGUAGAUAUCUGGAGGAACACCGGUGGCGAAGGCGGCAUCCUGGACCGGCAUUGACGCUGAGGCGCGAAAGCCAGGGGAGCAAACGGG
RNAcentral lists this ribosomal RNA (253 nucleotides) under uncultured bacterium. Its description in RNAcentral is "partial 16S ribosomal RNA". It matches the Rfam family "Bacterial small subunit ribosomal RNA", at positions 524 to 776 of the family's 1533-position model. The record is from RNAcentral.